CAGCUGAAGGUGCCUGUGGUCCCCCCUAUGCUAAGCUGUACUGAGGGAGAACAACAGUGGCACAAGCCCAGAACGUUGGGUAUAAAACCAGGACCCGUGGAUAAGAUGGCUGUUUUAUCUGCGAAACCAAAGUGUGGAGGAACAAGAGAGGGUGUAAGGAGCACACUCUACAAAGGCCUCAGUGGAGAUUUACCUGAUCUCUCUGUC
Molecule: long non-coding RNA, 207 nt
Organism: Melanotaenia boesemani (Boeseman's rainbowfish)
Lineage: Eukaryota; Metazoa; Chordata; Actinopteri; Atheriniformes; Melanotaeniidae
Exons: 3
Source: RefSeq, a predicted model, not a curated record